RNAcentral lists this ribosomal RNA (207 nucleotides) under uncultured bacterium. Its description in RNAcentral is "partial 16S ribosomal RNA". It matches the Rfam family "Bacterial small subunit ribosomal RNA", at positions 568 to 774 of the family's 1533-position model. The record is from RNAcentral.
CACGUGGGCGGACUGAAAAGUUGGAGGUGAAAUCCCAGGGCUCAACCUUGGAACUGCCUUCAAAACUAUCAGUCUGGAGUUCGAGAGAGGUGAGUGGAAUUCCGAGUGUAGAGGUGAAAUUCGUAGAUAUUCGGAGGAACACCAGUGGCGAAGGCGGCUCACUGGCUCGAUACUGACGCUGAGGUGCGAAAGCGUGGGGAGCAAACA